This 3144-nucleotide long non-coding RNA is filed under the name Homo sapiens (human). The record is from RNAcentral. Lineage: Eukaryota; Metazoa; Chordata; Mammalia; Primates; Hominidae.
UUUUACUGAGAGCCCAGGUGCUUUCUACCUCUCUGCUCUGCUGUGCUUGGCGUUGGCUUCACCUGAGGGUUGAAGGUUCUUUCCUUGGAUGAGAGAUAACUGAACCACCCCUGUGGACCCAGGAACAGGGUCUGUGUCCCUUGAAGCACGUGACAGCAGAGGACGGGAGGCUCCACCUGAACAUGACCAGGGGUCUCCUGGGGAGGAAAAAUGGAGAUGGAAGCUGCAGAGGAAACGAACAGCUGCCCCCACACAUGCCGUACAAGGCCUGCAUGGGAUGAUGUACGUAGAGCUGCAUUUAAUGUAUACUAAAAAUCACUGGGCCGUGUUGCUAACUUCUGUUAGCAGAGAAUGCAGAAAGGCUGUGGGAGCCUUUCAUUGCCAGCUCUACGUGACCCUUCCCCUUAUGAUCAACACCAGACCAGGGAUUUAACUACAAGGCCCUGCCUUACCCAGCUCUUUUUGUCCCCACUUUGCAAAGUUCCUAAAAUGUACCAGAUUUCUUUCUUCUUCAUGGUCUUAUAUGCUGAUCCCUCUGCGGAAAACAGUCUCUGUAUUUGUUGCCUUUUCUUACGUAGGUUUCACUUCAUGUCAUUCCUUAAAGAGCACUUCCCUGUCCUCCUAAACUGAAUUAGGUGCCCCCUCCCUGGCUUGUGUCCCUAUUGGGAUCUAGUUCCAGAUUGUAAUUAUGUUUCUAUUAUGUUCAUGUGUAGCUCUGUGGUAUGGGGGCCACAUUUGUUCUGCUCACUAGUGAAUCCUCAGAGCCUGGCACAUGGCAAUGCUCAAGACAUUUGAUGAAUGAAUUAGCUAUUUCAUGCACUUCUUCGUCUAACUCUCAUGCCUAUUGUCUUUUUUAAGCAUGUGAGACAUCUUUGGAGGUUAUUGAAUGUAAAGAUUUCUACAAAACAGUACCCAUUCCAAAAGAUUAAUGAUGUUUAAUAAACCUAAAUAAUAAGGAAUGCUUGGAAAGCUCAUAAAGUAACAGCAAUGGAACAGGGAGAUUUUUUAAAUCAUAUUUAAGUAAUUUAUUGCUUUGCAUCAGUUACCCUUACACAGAUAAAGCCAAGACUAGAGCAAAUUGGUGAACUAGUUAGUUCAACACUGUCUUUGCCCCAGCCCCUAUCUCACUAGCUAAUUACAUUAGCAGACAUAUAUCAAAUGUUUCCUCUGUGCUGCCCAUUGUGCUGGACUGUGAGAUUUGGCCCUGAUUUCAGUCCGGAUUCUAGUAGGGCUUCCAGCACCUCCUUCUCCCUUUGGGGCUUCCCUCAAUUCCAUUCAACAAAUAUUUAUUGAACUCAUAGUUGGGUGAAAGAAAUGAUGAAUGAGUAAAUCCGUAGCAAUACUUCAUGUUACUACUCACGAUGAUGGCUGUGAGGUGUUAACAAUAUUUUGAAUCAUGCAAGUUUUCAUUAGGGCCAUUCUAUCUAUUAAGGCAAGAACUGAACAAAUACAUCUAAGAAUGGGUUUCUACUAGAAAGAUUGCAACAAAUAAGUUUUUCUGAUUAGCCCUCAGAUAAUUCAAUUAACUUCUAUUACCAGAACGUUCAAGUCUGCUUUGCUAGCCUAUGAGUUUCCAUACAGGAGGGGCUGAAGGGCUGGCAAUCUGUUAGGAAGGCAAGCUGGAGUUUUGUCUUGAAGUCAUGUUUACACAGCAAGUAUGCUGUUUCUGCUUGGAUUCCAUGGCUAUUUGGCAUAGCUAAAGGUGGCUAUUGGAAAUCAUGGGGAAAUUAAAUCUUUGCCCCCUCUCAAUCAUUUAUUGGCGCUACCACUGAUCCUAGCUAACUGAAGCAUAAUUACAUUUUGUUUGUUUGUCAGACUUUCAGACUGCUCAGGCUUCAAAAUCCACAAGAUUUCAAAAAGAAAAUUUCAAAGGGAGAAAGAAGCCAUAGUCUGCUCUGAUAACUUGUUUAUCAAUUUAUUUUUCAAUUUCCCUGUCCUCUUCUCUCAGAGGGAAACAUGAGUGAGAACCUGACUCGCAACCCCUAUGAGAUAGAGAAUAUUUGCCUUUUUUUUUGGUUGAUUGCUGGGCUUGAAAAGAAAAAAAAAGACAGAAAAUAAAAAAGGUUAGAAGUCGGGCAUGAUGGCUUACGCCUAUAAUCCUAACACUUUGGGAGGCCAAGGCAGGCAGAUCACUUGAGCCCAGGAGUUCAAGACCAGUCUGGGUAACAUGGCGAAACUUCGUCUCUACAAAAAAUACAAAAAUUAACCAAGUGCAGUGGUGCAUGCCUGUAGUCCCAGCUACUUGGGAGGCUAAGGCAGGAGGAUCGCUUGAGCCUAGGAUAUUGAGGCCUCAGUGAGCCGUAAUUGAGCCACUGCACUCCAGCCUGGGUGACAGAGCAAGACCCUGUCUCAAAAAAAAAAAAAAAAGAAAAGCCAAGUUAAAAAUCUGUAAACUGAUAAUAUGGAAACAUGUUUACCUACUUUACAGGAAUGUCAUAUCAUCAAAACCAGAGGAAUUUUCUGUGCAAAUACAAAGGAAGUAAUUUAAUAGUUUCCAAAUGGUCUUUCUUGUUUUCUUAUCACCCAUCCACUCCUUGCACAUUUUUGAAAAAAAUUGUCUAGUUUGUAUUUACCCUUCUCACUUAUGCUGCAUAAACACAUUUUGCUCAAGGAAGGCAAACCUAGACAGGUCUGGUUUAAUUCCACAAUCAGAUAUUAAUAUAGUGUUUUGAAGAUAAUUGCUUUAUGACCUCAGAAUGAAUCAGUUCUCAGGGCAAGGAGACAUUUAAUGCAGCAGGCAGCACGCUUGCCAUGCCCCAUAUGUGGUGUGCUUGUAGUGCAGUGGGGCUCAGCUUCACGGGCACACCACGUGUGUACCAUACCCACAAACUGGAUUAGCAAGAAUGUGUAAACUUGGACUUCAUUCCCUCUCUUCCCUAGAUUCUGCUCAGGAAGCUAGAUUUUGUGAUUAGGCAAUCCUAUUGGGUGAAAGCUCACAAUAGUACUGAUAUUCCUAACAAUAGCUACCAUUUAUUGUACAUCUAUUACAGGCCAGGCUAAAUGCUGGGCUCAGUGCUUUGUGUCCUCAUCUUUGGAGCCCUCAUAACACCAAUACCAGGUGUAUUUUAUUAUCUCCUCAUUUUCUCAUAUUGCAGAUGAGGACACUGAGCUGAGAGCAGUUGAGUCACUUGCCCAAGGUCAUAU